Small nuclear RNA from Trichosurus vulpecula (common brushtail), 109 nucleotides. The record is from RefSeq and is a predicted model, not a curated record. NCBI's taxonomy places the organism in Eukaryota, Metazoa, Chordata, Mammalia, Diprotodontia, Phalangeridae.
GUGCUUGCUUUGGCAACACAUAUACUAAAAUUGGAAUGAUACAGAGAAGAUUAACAUGGCCUCUGAACAAGGAUGACACAGAGACCAUUGAUUAGGGCAUAAAAACCUC